UUCAAGAAGAUAUAAGAGUCAUAGGAUCGAUACUCUCGAUCGAUCUAACCUUAGAAAGAAAAACAAACGAGAAAAUAAAAAAGAAAAAGAAAGAAAAAAAAACAACGAUAGCUCACAAUUUUCUUCUUAAUAGAUCGAUCAAUUCAAAUAAUCAAAUCAAAGUUCAAGACGAAGAAGUAUAUCGUGAUUGAUACGAAGUGAGCGGCACGUGUGUGGAUGAAAAAAAAAUUCUUGGAGUUUCGAUUAUCGAAUGAUCAUGCGAGAGAAGAAGAAAAGAAAAGAAAAGAAUAUGUAUUUCCGAAAGAGUUAAAGGCUGAUCGUUCUUUCUUAUCUUGAAGGUCAAGUAAGGCAAAAUACAUAACAACGAAUUGAUCUCUCUAUUUGUUUUCUUUCAUUAUUUGUGUUAUAUUUAUUCAUUUUUCAUCUCAUACUUGCCAUGUUAAUCGAUUAACAAUAAUACAUUGUUACCUUGAUCUUCACGUAAGAAUGAGUACCAAGAUUGUUAUCGACGAGGCAUGGCGGUGGUUUGUCCCUUUGUUCCAGUACGAAAAACUUUUUUGGAUUCCAGGCCCAUUUCAAGAGUCUUUUUACUAUCAUAUAGAGACCAUAUACGAAGGAUAAAAAGUGUAAUUUGAUUAUUUCCCACGUUGAUAUGUGUACGAUUCUAUCGGUGAUCAUGAUGGCCAUGAAGAAAAAAGAAC
Vespa mandarinia (Asian giant hornet) is the source of this 701-nucleotide long non-coding RNA. The record is from RefSeq and is a predicted model, not a curated record. NCBI's taxonomy places the organism in Eukaryota, Metazoa, Arthropoda, Insecta, Hymenoptera, Vespidae.